This 492-nucleotide ribosomal RNA is filed under the name uncultured bacterium. RNAcentral describes it as "partial 16S ribosomal RNA". It matches the Rfam family "Bacterial small subunit ribosomal RNA", at positions 29 to 507 of the family's 1533-position model. The record is from RNAcentral.
AGUGAACGCUGGCGGUAGGCCUAACACAUGCAAGUCGAACGGCAGCACAGUAAGAGCUUGCUCUUACGGGUGGCGAGUGGCGGACGGGUGAGGAAUACAUCGGAAUCUACUUUUUCGUGGGGGAUAACGUAGGGAAACUUACUCUAAUACCGCAUACGACCUACGGUUGAAAGCAGGGGAUCUUCUGACCUUGCGCGAUUGAAUGAGCCGAUGUCGGAUUAGCUAGUUGGCGGGGUAAAGGCCCCCCAAGGCGACGAUCCGUAGCUGGUCUGAGAGGAUGAUCAGCCACACUGGAACUGAGACACGGUCCAGACUCCUACGGGAGGCAGCAGUGGGGAAUAUUGGACAAUGGGGGCAAGCCUGAUCCAGCCAUACCGCGUGGGUGAAGAAGGCCUUCGGGUUGUAAAGCCCUUUUUUUGGGAAAGAAAAGCAGCAGGUUAAUACCCCGCUGUUCUGACGGUACCCAAAGAAUAAGCACCGGCUAACUUCGUG